Molecule: transfer RNA, 64 nt
Filed under: bovine gut metagenome
Rfam family: tRNA
About the family: Transfer RNA (tRNA) molecules are approximately 80 nucleotides in length. Their secondary structure includes four short double-helical elements and three loops (D, anti-codon, and T loops).
Source: RNAcentral
CGACUUGGCUCAAUGGUAGAGCAACGGUUUUGUAAACCGUAGGUUGUAGGUUCGAUUCCUAUAG